AUGGUUGUUCUCCUUCAUCUCCUCUUUUGUUUGCCACCUGGAUUGCAUCAAGUAGAGCCUCAUAAAUCAAGUUUUGCUCACUUAAUGAUAGCUGCAUUUUCAUGUAGCUCGUGGUUUCUAACUUGCUUCCAAAAAUCUCUGAAACUUCUUCUCCCUCUGGUUUUCUUGUUGGAAGCGCCUCCAAUAAAGGCUAAGGGAGAAUAUUGUAGAGUUAUCUGCUCCUGCUGCUUGAGAAUCAAGGUAAGUGUGGCCACCUUCGACGGUGGGGAUGUAUUGAGGAAGACGAUCGGAGAUGAGCUCUGGCGUCAAUGUUUCAUGUUAUAA
Non-coding RNA from Vicia faba (fava bean), 324 nucleotides. NCBI's taxonomy places the organism in Eukaryota, Viridiplantae, Streptophyta, Magnoliopsida, Fabales, Fabaceae. The record is from the annotation of a GenBank genome assembly.